Molecule: transfer RNA, 73 nt
Filed under: Myxococcales bacterium
Lineage: Bacteria; Pseudomonadati; Myxococcota; Myxococcia; Myxococcales
Description: tRNA-Met
Rfam family: tRNA
About the family: Transfer RNA (tRNA) molecules are approximately 80 nucleotides in length. Their secondary structure includes four short double-helical elements and three loops (D, anti-codon, and T loops). Further hydrogen bonds mediate the characteristic L-shaped molecular structure. tRNAs have two regions of fundamental functional importance: the anti-codon, which is responsible for specific mRNA codon recognition, and the 3' end, to which the tRNAs corresponding amino acid is attached (by aminoacyl-tRNA synthetases). tRNAs cope with the degeneracy of the genetic code in two manners: having more than one tRNA (with a specific anti-codon) for a particular amino acid; and 'wobble' base-pairing, i.e. permitting non-standard base-pairing at the 3rd anti-codon position.
Source: RNAcentral
UACGGGGUAGAGCAGCGGCCAGCUCACCAGUCUCAUUGGCUGGAGGUCGUCGGUUCGAGUCCGGCCCCCGUUA